This 88-nucleotide microRNA precursor is filed under the name Branchiostoma floridae (Florida lancelet). RNAcentral describes it as "mir-2060 microRNA precursor family". It matches the Rfam family "mir-2060 microRNA precursor family". Lineage: Eukaryota; Metazoa; Chordata; Leptocardii; Amphioxiformes; Branchiostomatidae. The record is from Rfam by way of RNAcentral.
CUGUGUGUGAAUGGUGUUCAGCACCAGGGACAGGUAUGUUUACCUGUGUGUGAAUGGUGUUCACCACCAGGGAGAGAUGUGUUUACCU